AUUGAACGCUGGCGGAAUGCUUUACACAUGCAAGUCGAGCGGCAGCGCGGGGCAACCUGGCGGCGAGCGGCGAACGGGUGAGUAAUGUAUCGGAACGUGUCCUGUCGUGGGGGAUAGCCCGGUGAAAACCGGAUUAAUACCGCAUACGAUCGGGAGAUGAAAGUGGGGGACCGCAAGGCCUCACGUCGAUGGGUUGGCCGAUGCCCGAUUAGCUAGUUGGUGAGGUAAUGGCUCACCAAGGCGAUGAUCGGUAGCUGGUCUGAGAGGAUGAUCAGCCACACUGGGACUGAGACACGGCCCAGACUCCUACGGGAGGCAGCAGUGGGGAAUUUUGGACAAUGGGGGCAACCCUGAUCCAGCCAUUCCGCGUGAGUGAAGAAGGCCUUCGGGUUGUAAAGCUCUUUUGUCCGGAGCGAAACGGGGCGCGUGAAUAUCGCGCUCUACUGACGGUACCGGAAGAAUAAGCACCGGCUAACUACGUGCCAGCCGCCGCAGUAA
This 498-nucleotide ribosomal RNA is filed under the name uncultured bacterium. RNAcentral's name for it is "partial 16S ribosomal RNA". It matches the Rfam family "Bacterial small subunit ribosomal RNA", at positions 29 to 523 of the family's 1533-position model. The record is from RNAcentral.